This 576-nucleotide ribosomal RNA is filed under the name uncultured bacterium. RNAcentral's name for it is "partial 16S ribosomal RNA". It matches the Rfam family "Bacterial small subunit ribosomal RNA", at positions 355 to 920 of the family's 1533-position model. The record is from RNAcentral.
UGGGGAAUAUUGCACAAUGGGCGCAAGCCUGAUGCAGCCAUGCCGCGUGUGUGAAGAAGGCCUUCGGGUUGUAAAGCACUUUCAGCGAGGAGGAAGGUGGUGAACUUAAUACGUUCAUCAAUUGACGUUACUCGCAGAAGAAGCACCGGCUAACUCCGUGCCAGCAGCCGCGGUAAUACGGAGGGUGCAAGCGUUAAUCGGAAUUACUGGGCGUAAAGCGCACGCAGGCGGUUUGUUAAGUCAGAUGUGAAAUCCCCGGGCUCAACCUGGGAACUGCAUUUGAAACUGGCAAGCUAGAGUCUCGUAGAGGGGGGUAGAAUUCCAGGUGUAGCGGUGAAAUGCGUAGAGAUCUGGAGGAAUACCGGUGGCGAAGGCGGCCCCCUGGACGAAGACUGACGCUCAGGUGCGAAAGCGUGGGGCAGCAAACAGGAUUAGAUACCCUGGUAGUCCACGCUGUAAAACGAUGUCGAUUUUGGAGGUUGUGCCCUUGAGGCGUGGCUUCCGGAGCUAACGCGUUAAAUCGACCGCCUGGGGAGUACGGCCGCAAGGUUAAAACUUAAAUGAAUUGACGGGGUC